UUGCUAUUACUGAAGUGUCUAGAGUCAACAAAAUCUUUUAUUUCUGCCAGAUAAACAAGCUUUCUCCUGCCCUUCUGCGUCUUUCUUGUUUGUGUGUCACGCACUUCCUCCUCCCGUCUGAUUUCUCGACGCUCUCUCUUUAGUUCCACACGUUGAUUCACUGUCGGAGGUUGUGCUAAGCGGAGCAGAGCAGGUUCGGUUAUGGGAAAAGUCCUUGGCAAAGCCUGAACAACUUGUUUGUUUUUGCCUCCCUGUUCUGCAUUUUUGGUACAGACGUCUCUGAGGGAGCUGGGAUUAUACAGUUUCCUGUGGGCGGCUCCAACUAUUUGUGGUUUGCAGCAUGCUUCUGCAAAGGCUGUUGUGGCUGCUUGGAGCCCAGUAAGACCAGCACCGGAAGCUAAACGCCUGAUCCUCUGCAGCAUUUCCCUUUUGCUUCUAUCAGCCUUCGCUGGGGGAGAGACAAGGGAGUCAACUG
Long non-coding RNA from Podarcis raffonei (Aeolian wall lizard), 475 nucleotides. RefSeq lists it as uncharacterized. The record is from RefSeq and is a predicted model, not a curated record. The transcript has 3 exons. NCBI's taxonomy places the organism in Eukaryota, Metazoa, Chordata, Lepidosauria, Squamata, Lacertidae.